GUCGGUCCGUCGGUCGGUCAGUCGGUCGGUCGGUCAGUCAGUCGGUCGGUCGGUCGGUCAGUCGGUCAGUCGG
Molecule: microRNA precursor, 73 nt
Filed under: Mustela putorius furo (domestic ferret)
Lineage: Eukaryota; Metazoa; Chordata; Mammalia; Carnivora; Mustelidae
Description: miRNA (ENSMPUG00000023681.1)
Source: RNAcentral